UAAUUACAAAAAUAAAUAUAUAAUAUAAUAUUUGUUGCUGCCUUGUUCUAUAUAAAUGUUUCUAACAUGCAGGUAACAUAUAUGUAUUAGUUUGAAUAAAUCAUUUUAAUUAAGUUACAUUAUAGGCAGGAAUGUUUAACUGGAAAUAUAAACGAUGUUGUUCAUAAUGCAGAUAGCUUAGGCGAAAAAGAAAUUGGUGAAAUGGAGAAUGAGACUAACUACGGUG
Hydra vulgaris (swiftwater hydra) is the source of this 226-nucleotide non-coding RNA. NCBI's taxonomy places the organism in Eukaryota, Metazoa, Cnidaria, Hydrozoa, Anthoathecata, Hydridae. The record is from RefSeq and is a predicted model, not a curated record.